GUCGAGAAUAAUUCACAAUGGACGAAAGUCUGAUGGUGCAACGCCGCGUGGAGGAUGAAGGUCUUCGGAUUGUAAACUCCUGUCAUCGGGGAGUAAGACCUGGCGGUAAAUAGCCGACAGGGUUGAUAGUACCCGAAGAGGAAGGGACGGCUAACUUCGUGCCAGCAGCCGCGGUAAUACGAAGGUCCCAAGCGUUGUUCGGAAUCACUGGGCGUAAAGGGAGCGUAGGCGGCGUGGUAAGUCAGAUGUGAAAUCCCGGGGCUCAACCCCGGAACUGCAUCCGAUACUGCCAUGCUUGAGGGUUGGAGAGGUAGCUGGAAUUCUCGGUGUAGCAGUGAAAUGCGUGGAUAUCGAGAGGAACACUCGUGGCGAAGGCGAGCUACUGGACAACAUCUGACGCUGAGGCUCGAAGGCCAGGGGAGCAAAAGGGAUUAGAUACCCUUGUAGUCC
This 450-nucleotide ribosomal RNA is filed under the name uncultured bacterium. RNAcentral describes it as "partial 16S ribosomal RNA". It matches the Rfam family "Bacterial small subunit ribosomal RNA", at positions 354 to 796 of the family's 1533-position model. The record is from RNAcentral.